Molecule: ribosomal RNA, 490 nt
Filed under: uncultured bacterium
Lineage: Bacteria
Description: partial 16S ribosomal RNA
Rfam family: Bacterial small subunit ribosomal RNA
Source: RNAcentral
AUUGAACGCUGGCGGCAGGCCUAACACAUGCAAGUCGAACGGUAACAGGAAGCAGCUUGCUGCUUUGCUGACGAGUGGCGGACGGGUGAGUAAUGUCUGGGAAACUGCCUGAUGGAGGGGGAUAACUACUGGAAACGGUAGCUAAUACCGCAUAACGUCGCAAGACCAAAGAGGGGGACCUUAGGGCCUCUUGCCAUCGGAUGUGCCCAGAUGGGAUUAGCUAGUAGGUGGGGUAACGGCUUACCUAGGCGACGAUCCCUAGCUGGUCUGAGAGGAUGACCAGCCACACUGGAACUGAGACACGGUCCAGACUCCUACGGGAGGCAGCAGUGGGGAAUAUUGCACAAUGGGCGCAAGCCUGAUGCAGCCAUGCCGCGUGUAUGAAGAAGGCCUUCGGGUUGUAAAGUACUUUCAGCGGGGAGGAAGGGAGUAAAGUUAAUACCUUUGCUCAUUGACGUUACCCGCAGAAGAAGCACCGGCUAACUCCGUG